GAUGAAGAACGCAGCGAAAUGCGAUAAGUAAUGUGAAUUGCAGAAUUCAGUGAAUCAUCGAAUCUUUGAACGCACAUUGCGCCCCCUGGUAUUCCGGGGGGCAUGCCUGUUCGAGCGUCAUUUCACCACUCAAGCCUCGCUUGGUAUUGGGCAACGCGGUCCGCCGCGUGCCUCAAAUCGACCGGCUGGGUCUUCUGUCCCCUAAGCGUUGUGGAAACUUUCGCUAAAGGGUGUUCGGGAGGCUACGCCGUAAAACAACCCCAUUUCUAAGGUUUACCUCGGAUCAGGUAGGGAUACCCGCUGAACUUAAGCAUAUCAAUAAGCGGAGGA
RNAcentral lists this unclassified non-coding RNA (330 nucleotides) under soil metagenome. RNAcentral describes it as "partial contains 5.8S ribosomal RNA, internal transcribed spacer 2, and large subunit ribosomal RNA". The stretch from base 1 to 120 matches the Rfam family "5.8S ribosomal RNA", at positions 35 to 154 of the family's 154-position model. The record is from RNAcentral.